This is a non-coding RNA of Actinoplanes sp. N902-109, 69 nucleotides long. It matches the Rfam family "ASpks TB sRNA". The record is from Rfam. NCBI's taxonomy places the organism in Bacteria, Bacillati, Actinomycetota, Actinomycetes, Micromonosporales, Micromonosporaceae.
CUUGACCGAACCCAGCCACAACGGAACAUCCCGGCCCUGACCGUACGUCGCCAGCAACGCCUGCGCCUC